This is a long non-coding RNA of Mytilus californianus (California mussel), 576 nucleotides long. RefSeq lists it as uncharacterized. The transcript is spliced from 2 exons. Lineage: Eukaryota; Metazoa; Mollusca; Bivalvia; Mytilida; Mytilidae. The record is from RefSeq and is a predicted model, not a curated record.
AUGGCAAGUGACUUGUUGUUUUGGAAGAUAAAAAUAUGGCGGGUGUUUUCCCCUUCUGAAAAUAACUGACACAUUUGCAUCCUAAUGGCUAUUUAAAUAUAAAAUGACCAAAAAUAGUAUCUAUGAUGAUGGGAGUCCCUAAAUAUUUGCAUAACUACCCAUCACUCCGUGUCAAAUUGCAACUGAGGCUGCGAAAGGGAAGCACAUAAAUCGACGCCAUUUUUCAACAGAUCCACAUGAAUAAUACAUGUAACAAUAGAAAUAAGGAAUAAAGAAGAGCAGGAAACAUUUCCAUUUUGAGGAUUUAUGGAACAGAGGACUAUUUGACUUGUUUUUACUUUAACUUGGACUUUUUAACAAUAAUAAUGCUUCUUAAAUUUUAAAGUUUAUUGUUAUGUGUUUGUUUUUUUUUUACUUUCAAAAAAUCAAAGUAUUUAAGUUGUAUUAAAUUUUGUUUAUUUGAUUGAAGCUUAUUUACUUAUAAUUAUUUAAGAUAUUAUUUACAUAUGUUUCAUUUUAACAUUAUUUUUAUGCAUUUGUAUUUAUUUAUCUUUUAAAAAACUUUUUUUUUCUUAA